This 450-nucleotide ribosomal RNA is filed under the name uncultured bacterium. Its description in RNAcentral is "partial 16S ribosomal RNA". It matches the Rfam family "Bacterial small subunit ribosomal RNA", at positions 354 to 796 of the family's 1533-position model. The record is from RNAcentral.
GUGGGGAAUUUUGGACAAUGGGCGAAAGCCUGAUCCAGCCAUGCCGCGUGCAGGAUGAAGGCCUUCGGGUUGUAAACUGCUUUUGUACGGAACGAAAAGACUCCUUCUAAUAAAGGGGGUCCAUGACGGUACCGUAAGAAUAAGCACCGGCUAACUACGUGCCAGCAGCCGCGGUAAUACGUAGGGUGCAAGCGUUAAUCGGAAUUACUGGGCGUAAAGCGUGCGCAGGCGGUUAUAUAAGACAGAUGUGAAAUCCCCGGGCUGAACCUGGGAACUGCAUUUGUGACUGUAUAGCUAGAGUACGGUAGAGGGGGAUGGAAUUCCGCGUGUAGCAGUGAAAUGCGUAGAUAUGCGGAGGAACACCGAUGGCGAAGGCAAUCCCCUGGACCUGUACUGACGCUCAUGCACGAAAGCGUGGGGAGCAAACAGGAUUAGAAACCCCAGUAGUCC